ACUUAUGAUGAUCCUUCGGGUGAUUCAUUUGUGACUGAGCGGCGGACGGGUGAGUAACGCGUGAGUAACCUGCCUCAUACAGGGGAAUAACAGUUAGAAAUGACUGCUAAUGCCGCAUAAGCGCACAGGACCACAUGGUCUGGUGUGAAAAACUCCGGUGGUAUGAGAUGGACUCGCGUCUGAUUAGCUAGUUGGUGAGGUAACGGCCCACCAAGGCGACGAUCAGUAGCCGGCCUGAGAGGGUGAACGGCCACAUUGGGACUGAGACACGGCCCAAACUCCUACGGGAGGCAGCAGUGGGGAAUAUUGCACAAUGGGGGAAACCCUGAUGCAGCGACGCCGCGUGAGUGAAGAAGUAUUUCGGUAUGUAAAGCUCUAUCAGCAGGGAAGAAAAUGACGGUACCUGACUAAGAAGCCCCGGCUAACUACGUGCCAGCAGCCGCGGUAAUACGUAGGGGGCAAGCGUUAUCCGGAUUUACUGGGUGUAAAGGGAGCGUAGACGGCUUUGCAAGUCUGACGUGAAAAUCCGGGGCUCAACCCCGGAACUGCGUUGGAAACUGUGAGGCUUGAGUGCCGGAGAGGUAAGCGGAAUUCCUAGUGUAGCGGUGAAAUGCGUAGAUAUUAGGAGGAACACCAGUGGCGAAGGCGGCUUACUGGACGGCAACUGACGUUGAGGCUCGAAAGCGUGGGGAGCAAACAGG
This 701-nucleotide ribosomal RNA is filed under the name uncultured Lachnospiraceae bacterium. RNAcentral describes it as "bacterial SSU rRNA". It matches the Rfam family "Bacterial small subunit ribosomal RNA", at positions 66 to 776 of the family's 1533-position model. The record is from RNAcentral. Lineage: Bacteria; Bacillati; Bacillota; Clostridia; Lachnospirales; Lachnospiraceae.